This 442-nucleotide ribosomal RNA is filed under the name uncultured bacterium. RNAcentral describes it as "partial 16S ribosomal RNA". It matches the Rfam family "Bacterial small subunit ribosomal RNA", at positions 338 to 795 of the family's 1533-position model. The record is from RNAcentral.
CCUACGGGCGGCAGCAGUGGGGAAUAUUGGGCAAUGGGCGCAAGCCUGACCCAGCAAUGCCGCGUGAAGGAAGAAGGCUUUCGGGUUGUAAACUUCUUUGACAGGGGAAGAGCAGAAGACGGUACCCUGAAAACAAGCCACGGCUAACUACGUGCCAGCAGCCGCGGUAAUACGUAGGUGGCAAGCGUUAUCCGGAUUUACUGGGUGUAAAGGGAGCGUAGACGGAAAGGCAAGUCAGAAGUGAAAACCCAAGGCUCAACCAUGGGACUGCUUUUGAAACUGUCAAACUAGAGUACGGGAGAGGUAAGAGGAAUUCCUAGUGUAGCGGUGAAAUGCGUAGAUAUUAGGAGGAACACCAGUGGCGAAGGCGUCUUACUGGACCGAAACUGACGUUGAGGCUCGAAAGCGUGGGGAGCAAACAGGAUUAGAUACCCUUGUAGUC